UACGGAGGGGGCUAGCGUUGUUCGGAAUUACUGGGCGUAAAGCGCACGUAGGCGGCUUUGUAAGUUAGAGGUGAAAGCCCGGGGCUCAACUCCGGAAUUGCCUUUAAGACUGCAUCGCUAGAAUUGUGGAGAGGUAAGUGGAAUUCCGAGUGUAGAGGUGAAAUUCGUAGAGAUGUGGAGGAACACCGAUGGCGAAGGCAGCCCCCUGGGCUAACACUGACGCUCAUGCACGAAAGCGUGGGGAGCAAACAGG
This 253-nucleotide ribosomal RNA is filed under the name uncultured bacterium. Its description in RNAcentral is "partial 16S ribosomal RNA". It matches the Rfam family "Bacterial small subunit ribosomal RNA", at positions 524 to 776 of the family's 1533-position model. The record is from RNAcentral.